AUUGUUGCGAUAUAGCAUAUGAUUUGUCAUUUGAACGACAUAAAAACUCAAUGUUGACGAUUUCGAAUGGCAAUCAUCCAAAAAAUGGUGGAUUCAAGAUCGAAUGACUUCAUGUCUGUAUUGGAAUGAACAGUCUGUGAUAUUCGAAGGAUAGACAUAACGCCAUAUGAAUUAUUUGCACCCAAAAAAUGUUUGGGCUGGCUCGAAUGACAGUCAUUUGAAGCGCUUCAUGCGUUUGCGAGAUAAGUUUUUCAUUAUUUCUGUGCAGUCGCAAAAAGUCAGUUCGCGACAUCAAAACGUGAAAAAACUGCUGCUUGUCAUCUUCAAGACUAACGUCCCCUAGAAAAAUUGCUUUGGAGCUGAUUUCCUGGUAUUGGGAGAGAAACUAGCGUCCGGAUCAAAGGAUUUAUUUGCAUAUUUUGGAGCAAUGCCACUGACAUGGUGUCUUUCAAUAUACAGGGAAUAGCCGUUAUUUAGUGCAAAUAACUGGUCAAAGCCAUAGUAUGCAAGGCAAAGAGGGAGUACUGGAAAGGGAGUGAAAUAUACAAUAGGAUGGAUGCCAAAUAGCUGUCAAUUGAUGACUAUGUUGAUCGGAACUAUUAUUCUGGUGAAAUGGUGGCACUAACGAUUCAAUAUCGUACGGGAAUCACAGCCCUAGGAACCACGAGUCCCGAGAGAUUGUAGUUACAGGUAUUCCUAUCCCAAGGUUUGGAAAAUUUCCACGCGACCGGCACUAGGUGAUGGCCAAAUCUACUGGUUUCACAUAGCCGUCUUAGUCCCUGAAUCAGAUUCGAGAGCUAGACGGAUCGCAUGAUAUGCAACAUGAGGAGCCAAUGUUCGAUCUGCUUUGGUUCUAUCCCGAUGACCAUGGCGGCUGAACUACAUUGCCCCACAAUGCUGAUUACCUUUGGAAAUGUACAAUCAAUUAAACAAUCUGACGCAGAAAACACCAGCACCGCACAAACGUAAGAGAUUCUGUGAUGGACCAACGUUGCCGCAAGAGAACACUGGUAGCAAUAGGUUUGUUCCAGUACCAGGAGAAACUGGAAGUACUCCGGAGAAAACAGGGAGAAAA
This is a long non-coding RNA of Topomyia yanbarensis, 1075 nucleotides long. RefSeq lists it as uncharacterized. The record is from RefSeq and is a predicted model, not a curated record. The transcript is spliced from 4 exons. Lineage: Eukaryota; Metazoa; Arthropoda; Insecta; Diptera; Culicidae.